UUCAAAAAUACGAAAAUAUGUGAACAAGUGUACGUCCAAGAACUAGGAUCAGCCGUUGUUAGCGUCUGAGCAGUGAUGAGUUACUCCCCUUUGUAGUAAAUUAGCCAUUCUCCCAAAGGAAUCUGAUAGAGCAUUUUCACAUCACAAUACUAUUAUGAGCAAUGAGGAAGACACUGGCAGUUUCCCGUGUGAUCUGUGUCCGGAAACAUUUGAAGAGUUCACAGAAUUCAGCGAACACCUAAAAAGUCAUUUUAAAGGAAGAAAUCACAAAUGUCCCGAAUGCGUUCUAGAGUUUGAGAGCAGAGCAGAUCUUCUGGAGCAUCAAGCCACACAUAACGUUGGUCCAACAUUUGAGUGUGCCAUGUGCAAGAAGAAGUUUCCAACCAGUUUGGCUUUAGAAAAUCAUGCCAUAAUUCACAGAGACAAGUUUUCGUGUGAUUUUUGUGACAAGAUAUUCAGUCUUAAAGCACAGCUUCAUGACCAUAAAAAGCUUUUCCAGUAUAAGUAUAAAUGCUGCCUGUGUAACAGGUCUUUGUCUGGCAAGACACCCUUUGAUAACCACAUGCGUUCUUUGCAUAUAAAGGGAGGCAGGAUGUUUCAUUGUGACAUCUGUAGCAAGGAUUUUCGUUCCAAAGGAAACCUAAAACAGCAUCAAGAAAGUCAUGAAGAUAAGCCUCAUGUAUGUGAAACUUGUGGUGUCGCUUAUCGUAAUAAGAAGCUGUUUGACAUACAUGUGAAAAUCCACGAAGAAGGUGGCAUUACCUGCUGUAAAAUCUGCAAGUUCAAGGCCCAGGGUCCAGGGUCUCUGUCCCAGCACAUGAGAAUGCACGAGAAGGAGUUGGCUUUACUGAAGAAAUUGGAUAGCUCAAGUGUAUCACAUACUCAAUCUUAAGAGUCACUAUUGAUACUCAUUAAGUCCUAGGUAACAUAUUAUUUUUACUGAUUGAGAACAUGCAUAUUAAGGAACAGGAAAGAGUUUUGGAUUGGAGAAAAAAAAAACAUUGCUACAGAAAAAUAACUAGAAAUUUUGUCUGAAAUUUACUUUGCAUCCUCCUUUGUGCUUUUUAAACAUCCAAAUAUUAACAAUAAAAAUUAAAAUUAAAACUAUCUCUCUUAAAUAUAAGUUUCGGUGUGAAUACUUUUAAAAUACCAGAAAUUAAUAACACUGUGAACCACAUUAUCAUAUUAAUGAAAUAUUUUAUAUUUAGCUUCAAAUACAAAAAACAAAUGCCUACUUUCAACUGUUUUAUAAACUAUUUAAAACUAAAGAUCCAAAUUGAAAAAGAAAUAGCCCUCAACAACGAUAAACUUCAUAUUUUUGAACAAAAAUGGAAACAUAUAAACUUUCAUAACCCAGUCUAGUAGUUUUCUACCCACCUUUUACAAUUGACUAAACUUAUUUUAUUUUUUUUUAUUUUUUAAACACCUAUCACAAACAACCAAAGAAAAACAAAUACAUAUUGAUAAUUUGUAAUUAUUAAAGGAAAUCACAAGGUCAACAACAUGUAUAUAUUAGCAUAUUUUGUAUUACAUGUUUGAACAGCUUUGCUGCCGAAUGUUAAUCACCAUGUUUCUUUUUGAUAUUAUUCAUGUAUACAUUGUAUGUUUUAUAUUUAAUAAAAAAAAAAUAAAAAAUUAUUAUUUUUUAGUAUGGUAAAAUAGAACAGCCAAAAUGAAAAAACUGCCCCUUAAACGGGGACUUGUUAACAGCUUGGCAAAAUAACAAUAAAAAUAAUUAAUUUUGUUUGAAAGAAUGAAUACAUUAUACAUUAUAUAUAUUCAAAAAGAAAAAUUACCACUAAUGACUAAGAAAUCAGUAGAAAAACAUGUUAGUUCAUUGUAAAUCAUCAACAGAAAUUGUAAAAAUUAUGAAGGGUUUGUAACGCUGUUAAUCGAUAAGUAAUCGAAAACGUGCAUUACCAACAUGGUUUUGAAUUUCGGUGCAUUUUUACAUGAUGUAGAGGUAGCCAAUUAGCUUUUGCCUCAAGAGGCUGGGGUAAGAUCCCCAAAGCAGGCACAUUUUCAUUUGAUCUUGUUGGUUGUUAUAUAUUAUUAAUAUUUAAAACUGAAUAUUACAUGCAGUUUUGUUAGUUUACUAUUUAAAUAAUAUUUUUCACAAACACGAAAAUCUUUGAACACGUCCCUUGACUUGUAAUGGUGAAUCGUAAGAUCUCUGAAUGCAAUUGCAAAGAAAGUGUGAAAUAUUUCAAAUGUCAAAUAUGAUCCCAUUUUUUUAUCCCAUUCAUAAUGAAUUAUGUGAUAUGGAUAAAAAGUAAUAUUUUAAAUAUUUUUUUGUACAGUUCUGUGUUUUGUGGAACAGAUCACAAUACAUUAAAAAAUAAUAGAAUUGUCUUUUUCGCUUACUUAAAUAACUUUUACAUUUGUAAAUUCGUAUAUUACUCUUGUGAGUCUGGCUCUGAGAAAACAUGGUUUACUGCAUGUGGGUAGAGUGUCAUCCCAGAUUAGCCUGUGUGGACUGCAUGUGGGUAGAGUGUCAUCCCAGAUUAGCCUGUGGGGACUGCAUGUGGAUAGAGUGUCAUCCCAGAUUAGCCUGUGUGGACUGCAUGUGGGUAGAGUGUCAUCCCAGAUUAGCCUGUGUGGACUGCAUGUGGGUAGAGUGUUAUCCCAGAUUAGCCUGUGUGGACUGCAUGUGGGUAGAGUGUCAUCCCAGAUUAGCCUGUGUGGACUGCAUGUGGGUAGAGUGUCAUCCCAGAUUAGCCUGUGUGGACUGCAUGUGGGUAGAGUGUCAUCCCAGAUUAGCCUGUGUGGACUGCAUAUGGGUAGAGUGUCAUCCCAGAUUAGCCUGUGUGGACUGCAUGUGGGUAGAGUGUCAUCCCAGAUUAGCCUGUGUGGACUGCAUGUGGGUAGAGUGUCAUCCCAGAUUAGCCUGUGUGGACUGCAUGUGGGUAGAGUGUCAUCCCAGAUUAGCCUAUGUGGACUGCAUGUGGGUAGAGUGUCAUCCCAGAUUAGCCUGUGUGGACUGCAUGUGGGUAGAGUGUCAUUCCAGAUUAGCCUGUGUGGACUGCAUGUGGGUAGAGUGUCAUCCCAGAUUAGCCUGUGUGGACUGCAUGUGGGUAGAGUGUCAUCCCAGAUUAGCCUGUGUGGACUGCAUAUGGGUAGUGUCAUCCCAGAUUAGCCUGUGUGGACUGCAUGUGGGUAGAGUGUCAUCCCAGAUUAGCCUGUGUGGACUGCAUGUGGGUAGAGUGUCAUCCCAGAUUAGCCUGUGUGGACUGCAUGUGGGUAGUGUCAUCCCAGAUUAGCCUGUGUGGACUGCAUGUGGAUAGAGUGUCAUCCCAGAUUAGCCUGUGUGGACUGCAUGUGGGUAGUGUCAUCCCAGAUUAGCCUCUGUGGACUGCAUGUGGGUAGAGUGUCAUCCCAGAUUAGCCUGUGUGGACUGCAUGUGGGUAGAGUGUCAUCCCAGAUUAGCCUGUGUGGACUGCGCAGGGUUGACACUUUCAGCUUAAACUUGAUGUUCAAUAAGAAGAUACUUCUUAAGACAAAAGAUAAAAUAAAAACGGAUGGUGCCUCCCCUAAUUAGCCUGUGCACACUGUACUGACUAAUCUGGGACGACACUCUAUGAGUAUGCAUUUAGCCCAGUUUGCCCAGAGCGCAGAUUUUCACUAAGAAGAUACUUUCUUAAAACAAAAGAUAAAAUAAAAAUGGAUAGUGUCUUCCCUGAUUAGCCUGUGUGGGCUGCACAGGCUAAUCUGGGACGACACUAUGCAUAUACAUUAAGCUCGGUUUCACCAGAGCGCAACCCAUUUAUAUAUUAACUUUUAGUAUUUUCUAUUUAUUUUCAUUUACAUGUAGGUGGCUUCUACCUCAAGGCUCAUUAUUUGUAAACAAAAUAUGUUUGUUUAUGAUUUGUUAAAUGAGUUCAUUAUGAUUUUGAAAAUGGUUCUUUUUUGUUGUUGCAGAUUUUGUUUUCUUUAAAGGGCAUCUUAAUUAUGAAAUAAAGAUUGCUGUUCCUU
Long non-coding RNA from Dreissena polymorpha, 3972 nucleotides. RefSeq lists it as uncharacterized. The transcript has 3 exons. Lineage: Eukaryota; Metazoa; Mollusca; Bivalvia; Myida; Dreissenidae. The record is from RefSeq and is a predicted model, not a curated record.